RNAcentral lists this ribosomal RNA (466 nucleotides) under uncultured bacterium. Its description in RNAcentral is "partial 16S ribosomal RNA". It matches the Rfam family "Bacterial small subunit ribosomal RNA", at positions 28 to 507 of the family's 1533-position model. The record is from RNAcentral.
GACGAACGCUGGCGGCGUGCUUAACACAUGCCAGUCGAACGGAAAGGCCUCUUUCGGGGGGUACUCGAGUGGCGAACGGGUGAGUAACACGUGAGUAACCUGCCCUUGACUUUGGGAUAACUUCAGGAAACUGGGGCUAAUACCGGAUAGGAGCUCCUGCUGCAUGGUGGGGGUUGGAAAGUUUCGGCGGUUGGGGAUGGACUCGCGGCUUAUCAGCUUGUUGGUGGGGUAGUGGCUUACCAAGGCUUUGACGGGUAGCCGGCCUGAGAGGGUGACCGGCCACAUUGGGACUGAGAUACGGCCCAGACUCCUACGGGAGGCAGCAGUGGGGAAUAUUGCACAAUGGGUGGAAGCCUGAUGCAGCAACGCCGUGUGCGGGAUGACGGCCUUCGGGUUGUAAACCGCUUUCGCUCAUGACGAAGCUUUGUGUGACGGUAGUGGGGAAAGAGCACCGGCUAACUACGUG